CUGGCGGCGCACAUAAGACAUGCAAGUCGAACGGACUUAACUCAUUCUUUACGAUUGAGAGCGGUUAGUGGCGGACUGGUGAGUAACACGUAAGCAAUCUGCCUAUCAGAGGGGAAUAACAGUGAGAAAUCAUUGCUAAUACCGCAUAUGCUAACAGUAUCGCAUGAUACAGUUAGGAAAGGAGCAAUCCGCUGAUAGAUGAGCUUGCGCCUGAUUAGAUAGUUGGUGGGGUAACGGCCUACCAAGUCGACGAUCAGUAGCCGGACUGAGAGGUUGAACGGCCACAUUGGGACUGAGAUACGGCCCAGACUCCUACGGGAGGCAGCAGUCGGGAAUAUUGCGCAAUGGAGGAAACUCUGACGCAGUGACGCCGCGUAUAGGAAGAAGGUUUUCGGAUUGUAAACUAUUGUCGUUAGGGAAGAUACAAGACAGUACCUAAGGAGGAAGCCCCGGCUAACUAUGUG
RNAcentral lists this ribosomal RNA (464 nucleotides) under uncultured bacterium. Its description in RNAcentral is "bacterial SSU rRNA". It matches the Rfam family "Bacterial small subunit ribosomal RNA", at positions 36 to 507 of the family's 1533-position model. The record is from RNAcentral.